AAUCGAUUGUGAUGACAGUUGCUUUGCAGUUCCUGAAACUCCUUCCAUGCCUCAUAGAGUGAAUCACCAUAUUUUUGAGUGACGUUCUGAAUCUCCCUCCUAAGUCU
Small nucleolar RNA from Argentina anserina (silverweed cinquefoil), 107 nucleotides. The record is from RefSeq and is a predicted model, not a curated record. NCBI's taxonomy places the organism in Eukaryota, Viridiplantae, Streptophyta, Magnoliopsida, Rosales, Rosaceae.